Long non-coding RNA from Bos taurus (domestic cattle), 523 nucleotides. NCBI's taxonomy places the organism in Eukaryota, Metazoa, Chordata, Mammalia, Artiodactyla, Bovidae. The record is from Ensembl.
GCUGCGGGCCCUGUGGGCUUCGAGCCACGGACAACCAAGUUCCCUCUAGGCUGGGACCGAGUUCCCUGGCUAGCGCAAGGAGAGUGGUAGAGGGGGCACGGAACUGGAAGAGCAGCCUUGGGCCCAGAAAGGCGGCGCUUCAGCCUUCGGGAAGCAAGGAGCAUUUCUGCCACCCGAGUUGCCGUUUAAUUAGUCUCCUGGGCGCCGCGUCUCUCCUCCGGGUCAGAGGUUCCGAGAUUUUUCUUAGAAAAUUGCUCUCUGGGCCUAGUUCUAGUCCAGCAUGGCCCAAAGAUGAAAUUGAAGAGUGAAAGGGAUUCCAGCGGGAACAGCUGCAGAAAUACUGAGGCGACGAAAAACACUUUUUAGACACACGAUGUGACACCCAGGCCAGUGAAAACGGACUGAAGGAGUCAGAGGGCUUUAUCCUAACAUUCGACAACUCCAGAAAGUCACUUCCUCAUUCUCUCCUCUUCUUUUUCUUCCUCUUCUUUUCUCUCCUGCUCUUUCACCCUCUCAGAAAUAC